GUUCAGCACAAUUUAAGAGAUUUCUUAACGAAGGUACAUUGACAGUAGCUGACGAAGAUAGUUUAGAGAAGAUCCCAAAUGUUCCUGGUCUUCUCUCGUAUCGUGAAGAUAAUCAACAACUUUAUGUCAAUAAUGGAUCAGAGUGGCAAUCUUUGGCUUAUGAAGAUGAGAUUCGACAAUUACAGCAGGAAGUUAGAAAUCAAGAAACCAGGAACAACAAUCAACAAAGUGCAAUCCAAAAUCUUCAAACAACAAACAACAAUCAACAAAGUGCAAU
Dendronephthya gigantea is the source of this 277-nucleotide long non-coding RNA. RefSeq lists it as uncharacterized. The transcript is spliced from 3 exons. The record is from RefSeq and is a predicted model, not a curated record. Lineage: Eukaryota; Metazoa; Cnidaria; Anthozoa; Malacalcyonacea; Nephtheidae.